ACAACUAUGAUGAAGUGAAUAUCCCACCACUAACUAUCAACUUAUAUUACUGUCUGUUUUUAUAUGCAUUCUUUUCAUCUCUUCUUGAAUUGAAGUAGAUUUAUUGAAAACAAUAUUUUUAGCUAUCAACGUGGAGAUGGAGGCUACAAUCGUUGCAGCGGUGAGUCCGGCGGCGACAAAAGCGGUAAGCUUUCUGGUGGACAGUCUAUCGCAGCUACUAUCGGAAAAUGUGGAACUGAUUAGAGGUGCAGAUAGAGAUUUCCAGCGAUUACUCGAUGAAAUUAAACCCAUAAAUGAGUUACUAGCUGGAGAUUAUGCACAAUUGAAAAGCAACAACAACGAUUUGGAUAAAUUGUUCCAGAAUAUUCAACGAACAGUAUAUAAAGCUGAAGAUGCGAUCGAUAAAUUCCUAAUUCAGGCGAAAAUUGACGAAGCUAACGUGUUCAAUAAGUUCGGUUGUUCGUCAAGUGGAAUAACAAUCGGAAAAUUACACCGGAAUUCAGAAAAUUUGACAAUUGGAAUGAAAAGGGUCCUGCUGAGGAGGAUAUCGAAGUGGUUGGUUUUAAUAAGCCUGCAGAAGAUGUGAAAGAACGACUCUGUGAAGGAUCAAAGGAUCUUGAUGUUAUACUAAAGACCACUCUGUCAAGAAAAGUUUACAAUGAUUCUUCCCUUGAUUUUUAUGUUUACUACAAAAUAUGGAUUUAUGUUGGAACAUCAAAGAAACCGAAGGAUAUUCUUGUUGAGAUUGUAAAAGAAGUCGCGCAAAGCAAUAGUAAGGAACUAAUUAAAGACAAGGAUGAGGACCAAUUAGCUCAUAUCAUACGUGAUUUUCUUAUUGAAAGAGGUAAACAUCUCAUUGUCUUGGAUGAUGUGUGGGACACACAAGUUGUAGAUUUCGUCAAGAAAGUUUUCCCAAACAACAAAUCCCGGCCCCGAGGGGAUAGAAUUAUGUUGACAACUCGCCAACGACGUGUAGCUGAAGCUGUAAGCGCUCGUCCUCACUAUCUGAAAAACUUGUUAAAAGAGGAUAGUAUAAAGUUGUUGGAACAGAGAGUUUUUGCCAAUAAAAGGACAUGUCCUAUUGAGUUAGAAGGAUAUCGAGAUGGAAUUGUAGAUAAAUGUUGUGGUGUACCACUUGCCAUAGUGGUGAUUUCAGGAGCUUUGAGAGGUUGUAUGGACGAAAGUGAAUGGAGAUUAGUCGAGGAAAAUGUGGGGAAGCACCUUAUAAACAAGGACGACCAUAAAAGCUGCUUGAAAUUUGUUGAAACGAGUUACAAUCAUUUGGCGCAAGAGAAAAAAGCAGCCUUCUUGUAUUUUGGAGUAUUUCCUCAAGGUUUUGAUAUUCCUGCUUGGAACCUUAUUCGCUUAUGGGUUGCUGAGGGGCUAAUAAAGUCCGGUCAUAAAGACAGUGAAAUCGAGAAGGUUGCAGAGACUUACUUGAGCGACUUUGCUAGCAGGAAUUUAGUGAUGGUGAUGCAAAAGAGAUCUAACGGUCAAAUCAGAACAUGUCGUCUCCAUGACAUGUUGCAUGAGUUCUGCAUUAUUGAGGCUGCAAGGAUAAGUCUCUUUCAACAAGUAUAUCUCCAACCUGGUGUUCGAGUUUUUCUUCUAUAGAAGAUCCAAAUACUUCUCGUCGAUUAUGUAUUCAAUCCUCUAUUCCAUAUAAUUUUAUACCUAAAGAUAGAAAUGUACAGCAUGUUAGGUCUCUCUUAUGUUUUUCCUCGGACCAAAAGCAAAUUGACUUGUCUAAUCUAGAUGUCCAACUCAUCCCCAAUGCCUUUCCACUCAUCAGGGUGUUGGACAUUCAAUCCCUCAUAUUUGAAUUCUCCAGGAUGUUUUAUGGUCUAUUUCACUUGAGGUAUAUUGCCAUCAAAGGCGACUUCAGUAUCAUUCCUUCACUCUUUCGUAAUUUUUGGUAUUUACAAACCCUUAUACUUCGUAAUGAUGAUACAAAUACUUCAAGCUCCACCCUUGAGAUAAAGGAGGACAUAUGGAAACUGUUACAAUUGAGACAUUUGCACUCCGACCUUCCCGUGAAAUUGCCUCCCCCUCCUACCACAACAAGCAACAGUCGUACUUCUUGUCUACAAACUCUUUCUAAGGUUACACCAGAUAGUUGCAAAAAAACUGUGUUUGCAAAGGCUUGUCAUCUCAGAAAAUUGGGUAUUGAAGGGAAAUUGGCACUUCUUCUUGGAAAAUCUUCCAAGGAACGUGGAUUCGACAGUUUCCAAGAGCUAAGGUGCAUCGAAAAACUGAAAUUGUUGAACAAUGAUUUUAGUGAAGAGCUUCACCUUCCUCCACACUUUUUCAGCUUACCAAAAACACUGAACAAGUUAACUUUGUCAAGUACAAGGUUUGAGUGGAGUGAGGCAGAUAUGUUGGGGCAGUUGGAAUGCCUUAAGGUACUAAAAUUGAAAGAUAAUGCAUUCACAGGGAAGAAGUGGAAGCCCAAGAAAGGAAGUUUUAGCAAGCUCCAAGUCCUGCACAUUGUCUGGGCAGGAGAGUGGGAAACUUGGGAUGCAUCAAAUCGUCCGUUCCAAAGUCUUACACACCUUGUUCUUAUUUCCUGUUAUGAUCUCAAGGCUGUGCCACACGAGCUGGCUGAUUUACCUUAUCUGCAAGAGAUGAAGCUGACGCGCACAUUCCAGGCAGUCAGUUCUGCCGUAGAAAUCAAAAACAAGAUACUACAAAGGCAAGAUCCCGAAAGCAGCAUCAAAUUCAAUCUCAUUACAUUUCCCCCUACCUCGUCCACAAAUUAAGGUUAGUCGAAUUCGUUCAUUUUGUCUUGAAAAAAUGAUUUUAUAUCUUCAUCAUACAUUUGUGUUUGUUCAUAAGUUACUUUCUGGUCGUUCUGCAAUCACGAUUUCACAUUGCUUACCAUAGAAACCUCUCUCCAACACUUCAUCUAUCAUAUUUUCCUUGUAGGAUAGAAUUAAGUAGAAUACUCGUGGAUCAUCUUUCUGCAGUCCAUUCCAACGAAACAAACCUGUUGUCUUCUUAUCUAUUCAAGUAUUGUGAUUCUUCAAAAUAAGUUUCUGUGUGGUUUAAUUAAGAGA
RNA transcript from Solanum pennellii, 3056 nucleotides. It is a transcript of the gene named putative late blight resistance protein homolog R1B-17, with no coding region annotated. NCBI's taxonomy places the organism in Eukaryota, Viridiplantae, Streptophyta, Magnoliopsida, Solanales, Solanaceae. The transcript is spliced from 3 exons. The record is from RefSeq and is a predicted model, not a curated record.